RNAcentral lists this ribosomal RNA (1363 nucleotides) under metagenome. RNAcentral's name for it is "bacterial LSU rRNA". It matches the Rfam family "Bacterial large subunit ribosomal RNA", at positions 1582 to 2925 of the family's 2925-position model. The record is from RNAcentral.
UUGGUGAAGUGGAUGAUCCUAUGCUGCCGAGAAAAGCCUCUAGUGAGCGUUGUGGCGGCCCGUACCCUAAACCGACUCAGGUGGUCAGGUAGAGAAUACCAAGGCGAUCGGGUGAACUGUGGUUAAGGAACUCGGCAAAUUGCCCCCGUAACUUCGGGAGAAGGGGGACCUCUGCUGGUGAUGGGCUUUACGUUCUGAGCUGGUGGGGGUCGCAGUGGCCAGGGGGAAGCGACUGUUUACUAAAAACACAGGUCCGUGCGAAGUCGUAAGACGAUGUAUACGGACUGACGCCUGCCCGGUGCCGGAACGUUAAGGGGACCGCUUAGCCAGCUUCGGUUGGCGAAGGUGAGAACUUAAGCGCCGGUAAACGGCGGUGGUAACUAUAACCAUCCUAAGGUAGCGAAAUUCCUUGUCGGGUAAGUUCCGACCUGCACGAAUGGCGUAACGACUUCCCCGCUGUCUCAACCACAGACCCGGCGAAAUUGCACUACGAGUAAAGAUGCUCGUUUCGCGCAGCAGGACGGAAAGACCCCGGGACCUUCACUACAGCUUGACAUUGGCGUUUGGAACGUCUUGUGUAGGAUAGGUGGGAGACUAGGAAGCUGUCACGCUAGUGAUGGUGGAGUCAUUGGUGAAAUACCACUCUGGUCGUUUUGAACGUCUAACUCUGGUCCGUGAUCCGGAUCGGGGACAGUGUCUGGUGGGUAGUUUAACUGGGGCGGUUGCCUCCUAAAGAGUAACGGAGGCGCCCAAAGGUUCCCUCAGCCUGGUUGGCAAUCAGGUGUUGAGUGUAAGUGCACAAGGGAGCUUGACUGUGAGACUGACAGGUCGAGCAGGAGCGAAAGCUGGGACUAGUGAUCCGGCAUCGGCGUGUGGAAGCGGUGUCGCUCAACGGCUAAAAGGUACCCCGGGGAUAACAGGCUGAUCUUCCCCAAGAGUCCAUAUCGACGGGAUGGUUUGGCACCUCGAUGUCGGCUCGUCGCAUCCUGGGGCUGGAGUAGGUCCCAAGGGUUGGGCUGUUCGCCCAUUAAAGCGGUACGCGAGCUGGGUUUAGAACGUCGCGAGACAGUUCGGUCCCUAUCCGCUGCGCGCGCAGGAGACUUGAAGGGGGCUGUCCCUAGUACGAGAGGACCGGGACGGACGAACCUCUGGUGUGCCAGUUGUACCGCCAGGUGCACGGCUGGUUGGCUACGUUCGGAAGGGAUAACCGCUGAAAGCAUCUAAGCGGGAAGCUCGCCUUGAGAUGAGGUCUCCCACCCCGUGAGGGGGUAAGGCUCCCGGUAGAUCACCGGGUUGAUAGGCCGGAGGUGGAAGCACGGUAACGUGUGGAGCUGACCGGUACUAAUAGGCCGAGGACUUGACC